Molecule: ribosomal RNA, 746 nt
Filed under: uncultured Parvimonas sp.
Lineage: Bacteria; Bacillati; Bacillota; Tissierellia; Tissierellales; Peptoniphilaceae
Description: bacterial SSU rRNA
Rfam family: Bacterial small subunit ribosomal RNA
Source: RNAcentral
GACGAACGCUGGCGGCGUGCUUAACACAUGCAAGUCGAACGUGAUUUUUGUAGAAAUUCUUUCGGGAAUGGAAAUGAAAUGAAAGUGGCGAACGGGUGAGUAACACGUGAGCAACCUACCUUACACAGGGGGAUAGCCGUUGGAAACGACGAUUAAUACCGCAUGAGACCACAGAAUCGCAUGAUAUAGGGGUCAAAGAUUUAUCGGUGUAAGAAGGGCUCGCGUCUGAUUAGCUAGUUGGAAGGGUAAAGGCCUACCAAGGCGACGAUCAGUAGCCGGUCUGAGAGGAUGAACGGCCACAUUGGAACUGAGACACGGUCCAAACUCCUACGGGAGGCAGCAGUGGGGAAUAUUGCACAAUGGGGGGAACCCUGAUGCAGCGACGCCGCGUGAGCGAAGAAGGUUUUCGAAUCGUAAAGCUCUGUCCUAUGAGAAGAUAAUGACGGUAUCAUAGGAGGAAGCCCCGGCUAAAUACGUGCCAGCAGCCGCGGUAAUACGUAUGGGGCGAGCGUUGUCCGGAAUUAUUGGGCGUAAAGGGUACGUAGGCGGUUUUUUAAGUCAGGUGUGAAAGCGUGAGGCUUAACCUCAUUAAGCACUUGAAACUGGAAGACUCGAGUGAAGGAGAGGAAAGUGGAAUUCCUAGUGUAGCGGUGAAAUGCGUAGAUAUUAGGAGGAAUACCGGUGGCGAAGGCGACUUUCUGGACUUUUACUGACGCUCAGGUACGAAAGCGUGGGGAGCAAACAGG